ACUCCUACGGGAGGCAGCAGUGGGGAAUAUUGCGCAAUGGGCGGAAGCCUGACGCAGCGACGCCGCGUGGGGGAUGACGGCCUUCGGGUUGUAAACCUCUUUCGACCGGGACGAAGCGUGAGUGACGGUACCGGUAGAAGAAGCACCGGCCAACUACGUGCCAGCAGCCGCGGUAAUACGUAGGGUGCGAGCGUUGUCCGGAAUUAUUGGGCGUAAAGAGCUCGUAGGCGGUGUGUCGCGUCGGUCGUGAAAACUUGGGGCUUAACUCUGAGCUUGCGGUCGAUACGGGCAUCACUGGAGUUCGGCAGGGGAGACUGGAAUUCCUGGUGUAGCGGUGAAAUGCGCAGAUAUCAGGAGGAACACCGGUGGCGAAGGCGGGUCUCUGGGCCGAUAUCGACGCUGAGGAGCGAAAGCGUGGGGAGCGAACAGGAUUAGAUACCCUGGUAG
This 447-nucleotide ribosomal RNA is filed under the name uncultured Actinomycetes bacterium. RNAcentral's name for it is "bacterial SSU rRNA". It matches the Rfam family "Bacterial small subunit ribosomal RNA", at positions 335 to 793 of the family's 1533-position model. Lineage: Bacteria; Bacillati; Actinomycetota; Actinomycetes. The record is from RNAcentral.